GACGAACGCUGGCGGCGUGCUUAACACAUGCAAGUCGAACGGAAAGGCCCUGCUUUUGUGGGGUGCUCGAGUGGCGAACGGGUGAGUAACACGUGAGUAACCUGCCCUUGACUUUGGGAUAACUUCAGGAAACUGGGGCUCAUACCGGAUAGGAGCUCCUGCUGCAUGGUGGUGGUUGGAAAGUUUCGGCGGUUGGGGAUGGACUCGCGGCUUAUCAGCUUGUUGGUGGGGUAGUGGCUUACCAAGGCUUUGACGGGUAGCCGGCCUGAGAGGGUGACCGGCCACAAUGGGACUGAGAUAGGGCGCAGAAUCGUACGGGAGGCAGCAGUGGAGAAUAUGGCACAAUGGGCGGAAGCCUGAGGCAGCAACGCCGCGUGCGGGAUGACGGCCUUCGGGGUGUAAACAGCUGUCGCCGGUGACGAAGCGUGAGUGACGGUAAUGGGUAAAGAAGCACCGGCUAACUACGUG
This 468-nucleotide ribosomal RNA is filed under the name uncultured bacterium. RNAcentral's name for it is "partial 16S ribosomal RNA". It matches the Rfam family "Bacterial small subunit ribosomal RNA", at positions 28 to 507 of the family's 1533-position model. The record is from RNAcentral.